CACGUAGGGUGCGAGCGUUGUCCGGAAUUAUUGGGCGUAAAGAGCUCGUAGGCGGUGUGUCGCGUCGGCCGUGAAAACCUGCAGCUUAACUGUGGGCGUGCGGUCGAUACGGGCAUCACUGGAGUUCGGCAGGGGAGACUGGAAUUCCUGGUGUAGCGGUGAAAUGCGCAGAUAUCAGGAGGAACACCGGUGGCGAAGGCGGGUCUCUGGGCCGAUACUGACGCUGAGGCACGAAAGCGUGGGGAGCAAACAGG
This 254-nucleotide ribosomal RNA is filed under the name uncultured bacterium. RNAcentral describes it as "partial 16S ribosomal RNA". It matches the Rfam family "Bacterial small subunit ribosomal RNA", at positions 524 to 776 of the family's 1533-position model. The record is from RNAcentral.